AAAUUGAAGAGUUUGAUCAUGGCUCAGAUUGAACGCUGGCGGCAGGCCUAACACAUGCAAGUCGAACGGUAACAGGAAGCAGCUUGCUGUUUCGCUGACGAGUGGCGGACGGGUGAGUAAUGUCUGGGAAACUGCCUGAUGGAGGGGGAUAACUACUGGAAACGGUGGCUAAUACCGCAUAACGUCGCAAGACCAAAGAGGGGGACCUUCGGGCCUCUUGCCAUCAGAUGUGCCCAGAUGGGAUUAGCU
RNAcentral lists this ribosomal RNA (249 nucleotides) under Salmonella enterica subsp. enterica serovar Rubislaw. RNAcentral describes it as "partial 16S ribosomal RNA". It matches the Rfam family "Bacterial small subunit ribosomal RNA", at positions 1 to 246 of the family's 1533-position model. The record is from RNAcentral. RNAcentral also lists the same sequence under 18 other names. Lineage: Bacteria; Pseudomonadati; Pseudomonadota; Gammaproteobacteria; Enterobacterales; Enterobacteriaceae.